AUUCCAGCCUUCCAUCUGGUCAAAGUAGUAGUAUAGGAUAAGGUGGAGACAAUUUUUUGAAUUUCAAAAUCUCACCAACCCUUGUCAUAAUUAUGCACCCACAUGUGAGUUGGUGGUUGAACGGUUAUAUAUCUUAAUUUUGAAUGGAAAAUGUGUAAAUUUUUUAUUUUAAAGGCUUCCAUUUGGUCCCACACACACCUCACAUGUAUGAGACAAAUUUUGUAUCUAUAUAUGCAACAUGUGAAUGAAAAAAUGAAUUAGUGUGCUGUCUAGUUUUGUGUGGCCUACUCUAACAUCUUCUCUUCAUCUUCUUCUCCUUCCUUCAAAAUAAAAGCCCUAACAAUCCUAAAUAUCACUAUACCAUAAACAAACAUAAAAAUCACCUAAACAUCAAACCAAAAAUCAGAUUAAAGGUUGUGCACAAGACUAACACCUUGUGUACAACACUCUUGGCCAAGUGAACCCAAAACCACACCAAAGUCCAACAUGGGACACAUGGAAUCCCACGUGAAUUAGCAAAGACAACCUUGCAAGGCUAAAUACUCCUAGGUGACCGAUAGUGAAGUAGUACCAUGAGGGAAUGGUGAAAAUAACCCCCAUCGGGGAGUUAAAUAGAACAUGAAAUCGUAAGCUCCCAAGCAGUGGGAGGAGAUCGGGGCUCUGACCGCGUGCCUGUUGAAGAAUGAACUAGCAACUUAUAGGCAGUGGCUUGGUUAAAGGAACCCACCAGAGCCAUAGUGAAAGCAAGUCUUCAUUAGGCAAUUGUCACUGCUUAUGGACUCGAACCUGGGUGAUCUAUCCAUGAGCAGGAUGAAGCUUGGGUGAAACUAAGUGGAGGUUCGAACCAAUUGAUGUUGAAGAAUCAGUGGAUGAGUUGUGUUUAGGGGUGAAAUGCCACUCGAACCCAGAGCUAGCUGGUUUUCCCCAAAUUGUGUUGAGGCACAGUAGUUGACAAGACAUCUAGGGGUAAAAUACUGUUUCAAUGAAGGCUGCGAGAGCAGUACCAAAUUAAGGCAAACUCUGAACACUAGAUAUGACCUAAAAAUAACCGAGGUCAAGGUCGGCCAAUGGGACAAUGGGGGAUAAGCUUUAUCAUCGAGAGGGAAAUAGCUCGGAUCACCAGCUGAGGCCCCUAAAUGAUCGCUCGGUGAUAAAGGAGGGAGGGGUGCAGAGACAGCUAGGAGGUUUGCCUAGAAGCAGCCACCCUUGAAAAGGUGCGUAAUAGCUCACUGAUUGAAUGCUCUUGCACCGAAGAUGAACGAGGCUAAGUGAUCUGCCAAGCUAUGGGAUGUAAAAAUACAUCAGUAGGGGAGCAUUCCGUCUAUAGGGAAGCAACUAGGCAAGUAGUGGUAGAUGAAGCAGAAGUGAGAAUGUUUGCUUGAGUAACGUAAACAUUGGUAAGAAUCCAAUGCCCCGAAAACAUAAAGGUUCCUCCGCAAGGUUCAUCCACGGAGGGUGAGUCAGGGCCCAAGAUUAGGCCGAAAGGCAUAGUCGAUGGAUAGCAAGUGAAUAUUCCUGUACUACCCCUUGUUGGUCCCGAAGGACAGAGGAGGCUAGGUUAGCCGAAAAAUGGUUAUUGGUUCAAGGACACAAGGUACCCCAGCUUUUUCAGGGUAAAAAGGGGUAAAGAAAAUUCCCCGAGCUAAUGCUCGAGUACCAGGCGCUACGGCGCUGAAGUAAACCAUGCCAUACUCCCUAGAAAAGCUUGAAUGACCUUCAACAAAAGGGUACUUAUACCUAAAAUCGACACAGGUGGGUAGGUAGAGAAUACCUAAGGGCGCAAACAACUUUCUCUAAGGCACUCGGCAAAAUAGCCCUAUAACUUCGGGAGAAGGGGUGCCUCCUCAUAAAGGGGGUUACAGUGACUAGGCCAGGGCCACUGUUUACCAAAAACACAGGUCUCCGAAAAGUCACAAGACCAUGUAUUGGGGCUGACACCUACCCAAUGCCGGAAGGUUAAGGAAGUUGGUGACCUGAUGAUAGGGGAGCCAACGACCAAAGCCCCGAUGAACGACGGUCGUAACUAUAAUGGUCCUAAGGUAGUGAAAUUCCUUGUGAGAUAAGUUCUGACCCUCAUGAAAGGUGCAACGAUCUAGGCACUGUCUUGAAGAGAGGCUUCGUGAAACAGACAUGUCUGUGAAGAUGCGGACUACCUGUACCUGGACAGAAACACCCUAUGAAGCUUCACUAUUCCCUGGGUUUGGCUUUGGGCCUUUCCUACACAGCUUAGGUGGAGGGCGAAUAAGGCCUCCUUCUGGGUGGGCCCGAGCCAUCAGUGAGAUACCACUCUAGAAGAGCUCGAAUUCUAACCUUGUGUCAAGACCUACGGGCCAAGGGACAGUCUGAUAUGAAUCCACCCGAGACUGUUCGCCCGACAAUCUGCUAGGGUGCUGACCCAAUACAAAUGAAGGUGGGACCGAUCACGAGGGCCCAAGCCAAGAAGUUCAAGGACAAUCUUGCUGUCUUCAUACAAGGAAUAAGUCAUAGUCAAGAGGGGUUGGCUAUAUCCAAAGAACCAAGGCCUGUUUUACUCAUACAAGCAAUAGAAGCCGAUACGGACCCGGAUGACAGUUUUGGUACAUUUUUGGAGUCCGGGAAGCAUGAAAUGGUUCCAAUGCUUUAUGGGUUCAAUACAUAUGCCUAAGAGGUCAUGGAAUCAAGUUAAAGCAGCUUCAAAUGCAAUCAAAAAGGGCUUGUACGGACAGCCUCAACAAUUUGGCCGAAUUUGUUGUAUUGCUUGCUGGCUUUACUGUAUUUUACUGUAUCAGCCUUUUCUUAUUUUUCCAAGCAUGGGCAACAUGUGGGACUUCAUAUUCAGCAUAUUUGGCAUCCUACAAAUCAUCUAGAAGCUGAUUUGAAGCUCAAAGAGGUCAAAGAUUGGUCAAAGUCAAAUUAGUCAAAAAGCUAGUAUUAUAGUUUCCUAAUUUUAUUCUACUUUUUGUUUUAGGAAACUACCAUUACUUUUUAGUUUUUAUUUAUUUAUUUUCUGGACAAAUAAGUUUAGGAAAGUUAUUAUUUUAUUAUUUUCAUUGUAAAUUAAUUAAUUCCUAAUUCAAAAUAAAGGAAUUAAUUAAUCCAAAUUAGAUUAGGAAAAGGAAAGUUUCGGCCAA
Molecule: ribosomal RNA, 3110 nt
Filed under: Ziziphus jujuba (common jujube)
Lineage: Eukaryota; Viridiplantae; Streptophyta; Magnoliopsida; Rosales; Rhamnaceae
Description: bacterial LSU rRNA
Rfam family: Bacterial large subunit ribosomal RNA (bases 1-2438)
Source: RNAcentral